CCUACGGGAGGCAGCAGUGAGGAAUAUUGGUCAAUGGGCUUACGCCUGAACCAGCCAAGUCGCGUGAGGGAAGACUGCCCUAUGGGUUGUAAACCUCUUUUGUCAGGGAGCAACGCCGGCUACGCGUCUCCGGAUGAGUGUACCCGAAGAAAAAGCAUCGGCUAACUCCGUGCCAGCAGCCGCGGUAAUACGGAGGAUGCGAGCGUUAUCCGGAUUUAUUGGGUUUAAAGGGUGCGCAGGCGGGAGAUCAAGUCAGCGGUAAAAUGUCGGGGCUCAACCCCGGCCGGCCGUUGAAACUGGUUUUCUAGAGUUGGAGAGAAGUAUGCGGAAUUCGUGGUGUAGCGGUGAAAUGCAUAGAUAUCACGAAGAACUCCGAUUGCGAAGGCAGCAUACCGGCUCCAUACUGACGCUGAGGCACGAAAGCGUGGGGAUCGAACAGGAUUAGAUACCCGAGUAGUC
Molecule: ribosomal RNA, 459 nt
Filed under: uncultured bacterium
Lineage: Bacteria
Description: partial 16S ribosomal RNA
Rfam family: Bacterial small subunit ribosomal RNA
Source: RNAcentral